This 62-nucleotide transfer RNA is filed under the name Unionicola parkeri. RNAcentral's name for it is "tRNA-Met". Lineage: Eukaryota; Metazoa; Arthropoda; Arachnida; Trombidiformes; Unionicolidae. The record is from RNAcentral.
UAUAAGAUAAGCUAUGUAAAGCUAAUGGGUUCAUACCUCAUUGAAAGUUAACCUUCUUAUAC